RNAcentral lists this ribosomal RNA (253 nucleotides) under uncultured bacterium. RNAcentral's name for it is "partial 16S ribosomal RNA". It matches the Rfam family "Bacterial small subunit ribosomal RNA", at positions 524 to 776 of the family's 1533-position model. The record is from RNAcentral.
UACAGAGGGUGCAAGCGUUGUUCGGAAUUACUGGGCGUAAAGCGCGUGUAGGCGGCCUGCUAAGUCUGAUGUGAAAGCCCGAGGCUCACCCUCGGAAGUGCAUUGGAAACUGGCAGACUGGAGUCCCGGAGAGGAGGGUGGAAUUCCUGGUGUAGCGGUGAAAUGCGUAGAUAUCAGGAGGAACACCGGUGGCGAAGGCGGCCCUCUGGACGGUGACUGACGCUGAGACGCGAAAGCGUGGGGAGCAAACAGG